CACUUUUAAGAAAUUCAUCAAAUAUUUUAUUGUCACACCCGGAUUUAAGGAGCAAACCCAGGGUGCGUCUCAUAUGUGCGCCAAAGAAGAAGAAUACAUAUGAUGACCAAGUGUAUAGAGAUAAAUGUCAUAAACUUUAUUACAUAACGAGAAUGUCUUACAAAAUAACUGAUAAUAAAUAAAGCAAACUAAUAUUAUUUCCUUGACGCCAUCAAGUCGAUUAAGAGAUGACUCCUAGACCUCGUCGAACUCUUCGUAGUAAUCUUCCUCUAGGGCCACCUGCUCUUCACCUGUGGAAGGGGAGUUUUAUCGCAAGAGUGAGCUCACAAAAUUUCAUCGCUCAACAAGUGUGGGGAAUAAUAUGCAUUAGCUCAGUUACGGUGGGGGCUCAUGUAUAGUGUCAGACUGAUCGACAAAUAAUGGUUAAGGCAAAUCAUUGCUUUUAAUAAGUUGGUCAAAUUUUAUUAGUAGUUACUAAGUAUAAGUAAAUACCAAUCUAGAUAAAUGAGAGAUCAUAUCUAAUAAUAAAACCCACAAUGCGAUGCAUAUGACCAAUUAAGUUUAAUUCCAUAAGUUACUCAUGUGAGGGUCUGUGUCGCUCAUGACCGUGAGCACGGCUGAUAUACCAAUUUUACACUCUACAGAGGUUGCACAUCUUUACCCACAAGCCGUGAUACCCAUCUGCCACGGGGUUGUACGGACCCCAUAAACCUCUACUAAGGAGGAGAGGCAGGGUAGCACUAUGAGGUCUUUAUAAAGUUCCACUAGCUUCAGAAAACCCGCUACGGUUUCUGAGGAGAGCGAUAUACGAAUCCCCCGUCUGAAAAGCCAUCGCUGCAUGAUCAACUCGAGAACCUCCCUAUACCGACAAUUCCUCUACCACCCUUGUCCCUUUCGGGUAAGGUAGUCCUCCAGUAGCUUUCCUAAUUAGUCAGCCAAGUGCAUCUCAUACCACCCUUGUGGUAGCACUAUUUUUCCAGGUGGUUCUCCACGUUCCAAUUAGCAUAAUAAUCUUAUCAUGAACAGUAAAUAACGCAUUGACAAUAAAUAGCAUAAUCAUGAAUAAUGUGUAUCUUAACACCCAAAAACAUAUAAAGCAAUAGCAUAUACUACGCAAAAGUUUAGUGGUAAACAAGGUAUAAAGAUGACCAAACUAGGGUGACCUAUUGGGUCCCAUCAAAAUUAACCUAAGCAGAUCAUAAUGAUUAAUACGAACACUAUUGGGUAAAGAAGAGUGAUCAAGGGCACAACUUGCCUUCAACGAACUUCUGCUCAGAGUUUUCCCCCUGUUGAGUUCCGGGUUCCUCAAUUACUUGCACGUCUACUCACAAUAAAACAAACAAACAUUGUAUAGGUAAAAUUAACAUCACACCAAACAUGAGAACAAACUGCAUAAUAAUGUUCUACAUAUUGCUACGAGAUUGUUGGUUCAAGAACCACUAAAAUCGGAGUUACAGUUAAAGAGUUAUGAUUUUCUGAAGGUUUAGGUGUCAGACAUAAAACAAAUUAAGUGCGUGAUUGUAACCACAUGUUUCAUAAUAAAAUAAGGCUAAUAGAUGGUAAACAAUAUUAACAUGAGUUUAAUGCAACUGGAAUGGAUCAAAAAGGAGUUAAAACGCCAAAGAUAUGAAUUAAUUAAGUUUAAAGUUGUUUUUAUACUUCCCAAGUCAAUUUUAGAAUUUAAUUCAUUCCUUCUUGGGCUGCGGGCAUAAUUUUCUAGGCGUACAAGGUUUAUUCCACAAAUACUUGGGCCUGCCGAUAAGGAUUCCAGGCUAUGGGGUGGACUGCGGGUUGAUUUCAUAGUUCCCAGGGGUUCUUUAACAAAAAGACAUAUUGAAAGGGUAUCUGCGCAUACCAGCCAUUGGAUGCCGAUCUAUCGGUUAGGAUUAGAUCACAUAUUUACGAAUUGGUAUGCAAAUCUGACCGUUGAGGGGUAGAUCGACGGACAAGAUUUCAUUACCUGAGAUCUAAUCGUGUUCCCCGGAUCCCGAUCGAACAACCCAUCUCGGUUUCAGCUGAGUUGAUACUCCCGAACUGAUCUCAGUUGCACACAGCCAAUCAGACGACCAGAAGACCAUCUCCCCAAUCCCGCCACGCUUCAUGGCGACGACGCGCUAACAGUGGCGGCGGAACCCACCGGAGUCACCCCGUUGACACCCGGUAUCCCCCAAACCAUUUCCCGCUACGGUUACGUAGUGAAGGAGUAAACACAGGUAGGGUACGAGGUUGCUUACCCACGAUCGUGAUGCGACGUGCUCCGUCCACGAGCAAAAAGGCUCGGUGGUGCUCUGCAAUCUCCGGCGAACAAUUCAUUGGCCCCUGGUGACGCUCACACCCGAGUGUGUGCCUGCGUUCGAUCCUCAAUCGUUGUUGAAUGACCCUAACUCCUCCUUGUCCACCGAACAACUGUGGAAUAUGGGCGCGAGUGCAGCGACCCCGUCAAACUUCUAAUGUUGUCACGGCAUGGUUGCGGCGCGACCUCGCCCCCUACUACGUUCUAGGGAUUCGGAAGUGG
This 2515-nucleotide long non-coding RNA is filed under the name Zea mays. RNAcentral's name for it is "long non-coding RNA (ZMAY_LNC003976)". The record is from RNAcentral. Lineage: Eukaryota; Viridiplantae; Streptophyta; Magnoliopsida; Poales; Poaceae.